ACGAACGCUGGCGGCGUGCCUAAUACAUGCAAGUUGAGCGCUGAAGGUUGGUACUUGUACCAACUGGAUGAGCAGCAAACGGGUGAGUAACGCGUGGGGAAUCUGCCUUUGAGCGGGGGACAACAUUUGGAAACGAAUGCUAAUACCGCAUAAAAACUUUAAACACAAGUUUUAAGUUUGAAAGAUGCAAUUGCAUCACUCAAAGAUGAUCCCGCGUUGUAUUAGCUAGUUGGUGAGGUAAAGGCUCACCAAGGCGAUGAUACAUAGCCGACCUGAGAGGGUGAUCGGCCACAUUGGGACUGAGACACGGCCCAAACUCCUACGGGAGGCAGCAGUAGGGAAUCUUCGGCAAUGGACGAAAGUCUGAACGAGCAACGCCGCGUGAGUGAAGAAGGUUUUCGGAUCGUAAAACUCUGUUGGUAGAGAAGAACGUUGGUGAGAGUGGAAAGCUCAUCAAGUGACGGUAACUACCCAGAAAGGGACGGCUAACUACGUG
This 496-nucleotide ribosomal RNA is filed under the name uncultured bacterium. RNAcentral's name for it is "partial 16S ribosomal RNA". It matches the Rfam family "Bacterial small subunit ribosomal RNA", at positions 29 to 507 of the family's 1533-position model. The record is from RNAcentral.